RNAcentral lists this ribosomal RNA (409 nucleotides) under uncultured soil bacterium. RNAcentral describes it as "bacterial SSU rRNA". It matches the Rfam family "Bacterial small subunit ribosomal RNA", at positions 509 to 916 of the family's 1533-position model. The record is from RNAcentral.
CAGCAGCCGCGGUAAUUCGAGGGGUGCAAGCGUUGCUCGGAAUUAUUGGGCGUAAAGGGUAGGUAGGUGGUCUUGUUUGUCUGUGGUGAAAUCCUUGGGCUUAACCCAAGAAGUGCCAUAGAAACGGCAAGACUCGAGUUCUGGAGAGGGUCGUGGAAUUCCCGGUGUAGCGGUGAAAUGCGUAGAGAUCGGGAGGAACACCAGAGGCGAAGGCGGCGACCUGGACAGAUACUGACACUCAACUACGAAAGCGUGGGUAGCAAACAGGAUUAGAUACCCUGGUAGUCCACGCCGUAAACGAUCGGUACUAGGCUUAAGAGGUCUUGACCCCUUUUGAGCCGGAGCUAACGCGAUAAGUACCGCGCCUGGGAAGUACGGUCGCAAGACUAAAACUCAAAUGAAUUGACGG